CUACGGGUGGCAGCAGUGGGGAAUAUUGGACAAUGGGAGAAACCCUGAUCCAGCAAUGCCGCGUGUGUGAAGAAGGCCUGCGGGUUGUAAAGCACUUUCGGUUGGGAGGACUGCUUCUAGCACUAAUAUUGUUGGAAGUUGACGUUACCUUCAGAAGAAGCACCGGCUAACUCCGUGCCAGCAGCCGCGGUAAUACGGAGGGUGCAAGCGUUAAUCGGAAUGACUGGGCGUAAAGCGCGCGUAGGCGGCUAGAUCAGUCGGGUGUGAAAGCCCCGGGCUUAACCUGGGAACUGCAUCCGAUACUGUCUAGCUUGAGUACAGGAGAGGAGAGUGGAAUUCCACAUGUAGCGGUGAAAUGCGUAGAUAUGUGGAGGAACACCAAUGGCGAAGGCAGCUCUCUGGCCUGAUACUGACGCUGAGGUGCGAAGGCGUGGGGAACAAACAGGAUUAGAUACCCCUGUAGUC
This 465-nucleotide ribosomal RNA is filed under the name uncultured bacterium. RNAcentral's name for it is "partial 16S ribosomal RNA". It matches the Rfam family "Bacterial small subunit ribosomal RNA", at positions 339 to 795 of the family's 1533-position model. The record is from RNAcentral.